UACGUAGUUGGCAAGCGUUGUCCGGAAUUAUUGGGCGUAGAGCGCGCGCAGGCGGACGCUUAAGGCUGAUGUGAAAGCCCCCGGCUCAACCGGGGAGGGCCAUUGGAAACUGGGAGGCUUGAGUAUAGGAGAGAAGAGUGGAAUUCCACGUGUAGAAGUGAAAUGCGUAGAGAUGUGGAGGAACACGAGUGGCGAAGGCGACUCUUUGGCCUAUAACUGACGCUGAGGCGCGAAAGCGUGGGGAGCAAACAGG
RNAcentral lists this unclassified non-coding RNA (253 nucleotides) under uncultured Caryophanales bacterium. RNAcentral's name for it is "uncultured Bacillales bacterium contains 16S-23S intergenic spacer region". It matches the Rfam family "Bacterial small subunit ribosomal RNA", at positions 524 to 776 of the family's 1533-position model. Lineage: Bacteria; Bacillati; Bacillota; Bacilli; Caryophanales. The record is from RNAcentral.